GGCUGGGCGGGACGGCACGGAGCAGAACCGGGGGUCGGUGUCACCUCGGGGAGGGAGAGGCGCGUCCCGGGCUGGGAACGCUGCGGGGCUCCCGGUUUCCUUUUAAACGCGUCCCCGCAGGUGCGUGCCUUGCCUGCGGAGCGCAAGGCAAGGCGCGGGUUUUGCUCUCUGAAGGACCAGGCACGCCGGUGGAGAAUCUUAAUUAAAAAUCCGCGAUAAUUAUCUCGUACCUGCCUUAUCCUUUCCGUAGGAAGGAGGGUUUGGUUAAGUUGUGGGAAAGUUGCCUGGUAGAGCUCAUGGAAAAAGCCGCUCUGGUUUUGGUUGGGUGCUGCUGUAAACUUUGGAAGUAGCGUCCUGAGAAGGAUUGCAAUCGAGGCGAAAAAAUGUAAAUAGUGCCAAACAUGUGCGGAUCACUUGUCCCCCUGUAAAUAAAUAAGCUGAAAUUUUGCACUUGUGGGGUUUUUGCCUGCCUUUUUCUUUUUUUUUUCCUCUCUCUCUGCAGUGGAAAAGUUCAGACUAGAAUUUUUUUUAGUUAAAUGUACUGUUCGACUCCUUAGGCUCAGCUGAGAGCUCCCACAUUCUCCAUCUCAUUCUCAUUCUUUGGGAAUCAGCAGCGGUACCUGUAACCCAGCACCUAUUUUUGGAGGCUGUUUGUUACAAAACACCUGCUACUCCAUUAACAAAUGGGAUUUUCCUUUUUUUAGAAGCAGAAUUGAGAGUGACACGGGUUUUUUGUAGGAAUGCCUUGGAAAAUGUGUUUGCAUGUUUUGCCUCUAACUCUGCUAUGGAAGAGCUUGUAACAGAGUGGGAAAAACACUGGGUUUGUCAAUCCUGAGCCACCCCACUGGCUGAAGAGGAUGGGGGAAAGCAAUUCCUUCCUUCAGCCUCUCACUUGGCAACAGAACCUUAAAUUCCCUGAUCCAUGUGCCACGUUCUCUGCAAGCCACAGGAUCAUCUUGUGAAGAUAAACAUGCAUUUCCCCUCUUCUGUUUCUUCAGUUGUUUGG
Long non-coding RNA from Passer domesticus (house sparrow), 1006 nucleotides. RefSeq lists it as uncharacterized. NCBI's taxonomy places the organism in Eukaryota, Metazoa, Chordata, Aves, Passeriformes, Passeridae. The record is from RefSeq and is a predicted model, not a curated record. The transcript has 2 exons.